UACGAAGGAUGCAAGCGUUAUCCGGAUUCAUUGGGUUUAAAGGGCGCGUAGGUGGCCUGGUAAGUAGGGGGUGAAAUCUCGCGGCUCAACUGCGAGGCUGCCUCCUAAACUGUCAGGCUCGAGCAGAGUAGAGGCAGGUGGAAUUCCCGGUGUAGUGGUGGAAUGCGUAGAUAGUCGGAGGAACACCAGUGGCGAAGGCGGCUCUCUGGACCUCUGCUGACGCUGAGGCGCGAAAGCGUGGGGAGCGAUCCGG
This 253-nucleotide ribosomal RNA is filed under the name uncultured bacterium. RNAcentral's name for it is "partial 16S ribosomal RNA". It matches the Rfam family "Bacterial small subunit ribosomal RNA", at positions 524 to 776 of the family's 1533-position model. The record is from RNAcentral.